UACGUAGGGGGCAAGCGUUAUCCGGAAUGAUUGGGCGUAAAGCGUCCGCAGGUGGCAAUGUAAGUCUGCUGUCAAAGCGUCUGGCUCAACCAGAUAAGGGCAGUGGAAACUAUGAGACUAGAGUAUGUUAGGGGUAGAGGGAAUUCCCAGUGUAGCGGUGAAAUGCGUAGAGAUUGGGAAGAACACCGGUGGCGAAAGCGCUCUGCUAGGACAAUACUGACACUGAGGGACGAAAGCUAGGGGAGCGAAUGGG
Molecule: ribosomal RNA, 253 nt
Filed under: uncultured bacterium
Lineage: Bacteria
Description: partial 16S ribosomal RNA
Rfam family: Bacterial small subunit ribosomal RNA
Source: RNAcentral